Molecule: non-coding RNA, 2313 nt
Organism: Coturnix japonica (Japanese quail)
Lineage: Eukaryota; Metazoa; Chordata; Aves; Galliformes; Phasianidae
Source: RefSeq, a predicted model, not a curated record
AGCCUGCUUAAGUAAAGGUCCUUAACAUUUCGAGUCUGCAAUGCCAGCUAACGGUAGGAAGCUAUUUUACCUCUCAAUCUUGCUUUAUUUUAUUCUCCUCUGACUGGCUAUUAUACUGUAUGACAUAUGGUCUGCUUAAAUUAGGCAGGAGCACAAAAUCUUGUUCCUUCGUUUCAGAGUGUGAAGCCAGGUUGACUAUUAAUAGGAAAAGCCCUGGAAGAAUGUGUAUGCAGCAGUCAGACUCUGCAUAAGGGAAACGAAAGCUAUGAUACAAUAGGGAAUAAAAUGAAUUUCUUGUGCAUUACAGCCAGAACAACUAUAGGCUAACACCAUUCCAAACUAAGUGUAGAAGUGCUGUUACAUCUGCGUGUCUAGGAGGUGGCAUGCCAGUGACCUGAUGUACAUGGUAUCCAGCGUACAGAUUUUCCAGAGUGAUCUCCAAGUUGUAACGGACAACCUCUUUCCUGCCAGCAGAGCCUGGAGAGGAAUAAACCAAGACCACCGGCUAAGUCACUGCGUAACAUGCUGUGGAUAUGAGCGCCGAAUGCCCUCAGCACAGAGUGCCUAUCAUUCAGCCCUCUGAUGGCAACACUCAGACAACUCAGGGACAGACAGAACACAAAACCAGAAAUGAGGAUGUACAACCAUGGCUGAAGAUGCCCAGAGAGUUGUGUAACGGCCAGAGAGAGGCAGAUGACAGCAACAAGAAAUUUCACAGCUCCAAAGAGUGAACCUACCAUGGAUUAGUACCAGAGACAGAAAUACAUCCACUAAAACCAUGAAGGAAGUCCCAGGAUCUAGCCCUUUACCACUGAACUGCAAUAGCUUGAUUGUGUUAAACUGAGUUCCAGGAUGCAAGAUGCUGUUCAGAUAGCUCUGCAAUACACUCUUCAGAUCCAGCAGCUUGGGCAGGAGAGAGCCCACGGAUGAUGGAAUACCCAGAUCUCUGCUGCCAUCCCAUGAGCAAUAGAUCCUUUCUUCUGGAUUCCCCAGGAUUCUCCCAGCAGCCAGCCUUGUUAACAGAAGUCAACAUGAAUAGUAACAGCCCUUCAAAAACGAGACAUGGAGGAACCUUGUGGGAAAGCACCUUGCAGUGCUUUGUCAUCUGCUGACAAACUGGUGCCAGGUCCAGAACUUCAUAAUAAAGUCUUGGGAGAAAAUUUUGCAGCAGACCAAGGAAUCGUGAAGGUAUGGACCUGCAGCAAAACUGCCGUAAGAAAUGAUGUAUUUACCUUUAUUCAUCUCCUUAAAGGCUGAAAGCUGAGCUUUGUGGCAAGCUGUGAUCUCACCUUCUUCAUUGCAUUGCAGUACUGUUUGUCAUGUUUUCUAGUAUUCCAAAAAAAGAAAAGGAGCAAGGCAAUAGCUGUUAGUUACUGACACAUUAUCUCCCAGUGGUAUCUUCAGAUUUAAAGCCUCUUGGGCACCUCUGUUAUGUUCCCAAAGCAAAGUACCUGGGUCAUGACACAGGAGGCUUCUAUGCCGCUGAUUCUCUGCUCUCUUCCAUGCAGCAGAGCUGGAUUCCUGGCAGCUGGAGGUGCUGCUCUUAUACACAACAGCAGCAAAUGGGCGCCCAUGUGAGUUAAAGAAUCACAGGAGACACCGUGCAUUGCUGCAGCACGUGGCUUCCAGGGCUGAGGUGAUGUUUCUGCCACCAGGCAGACUUCCUGCUCUCAGGUAGGAGCCUCGGGUGACUGGCUUGUUGUGCUUCCCUCACUGAGACACAGCUUUGGGCAGACACUGGGAGCAGGGCUUAACUUACCUCCGCUCCUUCUUGCUUCAACUGACUAACUCAGCUGCUCUGUGAGUGUGUGGAAAUUACCUUGAGUGCAAUUAUUUGCUGUAGGAGGACACUUGAAGCAGCCGAUGUCCCUGCAGUCUGUCGGGCAGGGUGCUUUAUGUACCGCAGUGCUGCAUUCCUGCCUAAUGCCAAGGGGAUGGCCUUUUGCAGCGGCUUAUCAGAUAGAGAUAGCAGCAAUUAUCCAGCACCGAUUCCUUCCCUCCCUCUCCUGGUCUGUUUCCAUGCUCUCAUACCAUGUGAUUUCUACAUUAAACGGGCUCCUUAUGUGAAAGCGGUCUCAGCUUUCAAGUUUAAGUUUAAAAAACCAACACGGAACGGAUGAAGUGAAAUGUUUCUUUUGGCCGGCGCUCUGACAAAGGGGAGGAAACCCCUCGCUGUGGGAGCGGGCGGCAGCGCCCUCUGCUGGGCGCACGGAGAGCCUGGAGGGCGGCCAGAGCCGGGGGGGCAAUAACGGGGAAUCCCUUCACAGCCCGGGGUCUGGGUGUCCCGGGGAGCUGCAAAUCCUGUUUCCGUGU